UCGAGAAUCUUCGGCAAUGGGCGCAAGCCUGACCGAGCGACGCCGCGUGGAGGAUGAAGGCCUUCGGGUUGUAAACUCCUGUCGAGGGGGAAAAAGGGUCGCAAGACCUUGAUUGAUCCCUGGAGGAAGCACGGGCUAAGUUCGUGCCAGCAGCCGCGGUAAGACGAACCGUGCGAACGUUAUUCGGAAUCAUUGGGCUUAAAGCGCGUGUAGGCGGAUUCGUGCGUCUGUCGCUGAAAUCCCCCGGCUCAACCGGGGAACGGGCGCGGAUACGACGAGUCUGGAGGGGCAUAGGGGGACCUGGAACUUCCGGUGGAGCGGUGAAAUGCGUUGAGAUCGGAAGGAACGCCCGUGGCGAAAGCGAGGUCCUGGAUGCCUACUGACGCUGAGACGCGAAAGCCAGGGGAGCGAACG
RNAcentral lists this ribosomal RNA (414 nucleotides) under uncultured Singulisphaera sp. Its description in RNAcentral is "bacterial SSU rRNA". It matches the Rfam family "Bacterial small subunit ribosomal RNA", at positions 355 to 774 of the family's 1533-position model. Lineage: Bacteria; Pseudomonadati; Planctomycetota; Planctomycetia; Isosphaerales; Isosphaeraceae. The record is from RNAcentral.